This is a long non-coding RNA of Bolinopsis microptera, 411 nucleotides long. RefSeq lists it as uncharacterized. NCBI's taxonomy places the organism in Eukaryota, Metazoa, Ctenophora, Tentaculata, Lobata, Bolinopsidae. The transcript has 4 exons. The record is from RefSeq and is a predicted model, not a curated record.
AGUUUCAUAAAUAGAUUUUCCUAACGUCAUGCCAGAUCAUUGUAAUUGGUUCCCGUCGCUUCUGUUGAAUUCCUGAUAGGCUAGGAAGUUUGUUCCUCGAGGUAAUAUUGUGGUGACCCUAUCCUACCUGUUUGCUUGUCCUAACCUUAGCAGCACCUACAUUAUUACCUCGACAUUCCCCUCCCACGGAUUCUGCCCUCGUUGGCAGCAUUGAAGGAACGUAGCCAUGAUAUAGCAGCUACCUGUCCAUCGUCCAGAGAGAGAGUCAGCCAGCCCGUUAUAAUACACACCAGUUCCCAUUGAUCACCCAGCUACCCAACUGAUUUAGGGUAACGGACUUUACCAUGAGAUUGAACACUUAUUUUAUGUACGAUUGGAUUGGUCUUGCAUUAUUUUACAAUCCUUUACUUA